RNAcentral lists this ribosomal RNA (975 nucleotides) under Lophiopoacea winteri. Its description in RNAcentral is "SSU rRNA". It matches the Rfam family "Eukaryotic small subunit ribosomal RNA", at positions 102 to 1086 of the family's 1831-position model. The record is from RNAcentral. Lineage: Eukaryota; Fungi; Ascomycota; Dothideomycetes; Pleosporales; Lophiostomataceae.
UAAAUCAGUUAUCGUUUAUUUGAUAGUACCUUACUACUUGGAUAACCGUGGUAAUUCUAGAGCUAAUACAUGCUAAAAACCCUGACUUCGGAAAGGGUGUAUUUAUUAGAUAAAAAACCAAUGCCCUUUGGGCUCUUUGGUGAUUCAUGAUAACUUAACGGAUCGCAUGGCCUUGCGCCGGCGACGGUUCAUUCAAAUUUCUGCCCUAUCAACUUUCGAUGGUAAGGUAUUGGCUUACCAUGGUUUCAACGGGUAACGGGGAAUUAGGGUUCGAUUCCGGAGAGGGAGCCUGAGAAACGGCUACCACAUCCAAGGAAGGCAGCAGGCGCGCAAAUUACCCAAUCCCGACACGGGGAGGUAGUGACAAUAAAUACUGAUACAGGGCUCUUUUGGGUCUUGUAAUCGGAAUGAGUACAAUUUAAACCUCUUAACGAGGAACAAUUGGAGGGCAAGUCUGGUGCCAGCAGCCGCGGUAAUUCCAGCUCCAAUAGCGUAUAUUAAAGUUGUUGCAGUUAAAAAGCUCGUAGUUGAAUCUUGGGCCUGGCUGGCCGGUCCGCCUCACCGCGUGUACUGGUCUGGCCGGGCCUUUCCUUCUGGAGAACCUCAUGCCCUUCAGUGGGUGUGUUGGGGAACCAGGACUUUUACUUUGAAAAAAUUAGAGUGUUCAAAGCAGGCCUUUGCUCGAAUACGUUAGCAUGGAAUAAUAGAAUAGGACGUGCGGUCCUAUUUUGUUGGUUUCUAGGACCGCCGUAAUGAUUAAUAGGGAUAGUCGGGGGCAUCAGUAUUCAAUUGUCAGAGGUGAAAUUCUUGGAUUUAUUGAAGACUAACUACUGCGAAAGCAUUUGCCAAGGAUGUUUUCAUUAAUCAGUGAACGAAAGUUAGGGGAUCGAAGACGAUCAGAUACCGUCGUAGUCUUAACCGUAAACUAUGCCGACUAGGGAUCGGGCGAUGUUUCUAUCUUGACUCGCUCGGCAC